UUAUAUUUUGAUACUGUUUGAAUUAUUUUAUAAUUUAACUAUUAUAUUUGAUUAAGUAUAUUAGGUUAGAAGAUGUUGAUUAAUUUGGAUUUUAUGAUUAAUUGAUUGGAUUUUGUGAUUAAUUGAUUGGAUUUUAUGAUUAAUUGAUUGGAUUAGAUUCAAAUCAAUUCUUAUUAUGCCCAAAUUAUAGUAUAAUUCAAUGAAAUUAGAGAAAAUAUCAAAAA
This 224-nucleotide long non-coding RNA is filed under the name Manihot esculenta (cassava). Its description in RNAcentral is "long non-coding RNA (MESC_LNC011428)". The record is from RNAcentral. Lineage: Eukaryota; Viridiplantae; Streptophyta; Magnoliopsida; Malpighiales; Euphorbiaceae.